AGUGAACGCUGGCGGCAGGCCUAACACAUGCAAGUCGAGCGGACGAACAGUGAGAGCUCGCUCUUACGGGUGGCGACGGGCGGGCGGGUGAGAAAUACAUGGGAAUCUACUGGUUCUUGGGUGAUAACGUGGGGACACAUACGCUAAUAGCGCAUACGGCGUACGGGUGGGAUCAGGGGAUCUUCGGACAUUGGGUGAUUCAAUGAGCCGAUGUCGGAUUAGCUAGGUGGCGGGGUAAAGGCCCACCAAGGCGACGAUCCGUUGCUGGUCUGAGAGGGAGAUUAGCCAAACUGGAACUGAGAAACGGUCCAGACUCCUACGGGAGGCAGCAGUUGGGAAUAUUGGACAAUGGGCGCAAGCCUGAACCAGCCAUGCCGCGUGGGUGAAGAAGGUCCUCGGGUUGUAAAACCCUUUUAUUAGGGAAGAAAAGCAGCAGAUUAAAUCCCCGCCUUUUUGACGGUACCCAACAAAAAAGCCACGGCUAACUUCGUG
RNAcentral lists this ribosomal RNA (492 nucleotides) under uncultured bacterium. RNAcentral's name for it is "partial 16S ribosomal RNA". It matches the Rfam family "Bacterial small subunit ribosomal RNA", at positions 29 to 507 of the family's 1533-position model. The record is from RNAcentral.